This 45-nucleotide non-coding RNA is filed under the name Schistosoma haematobium. Lineage: Eukaryota; Metazoa; Platyhelminthes; Trematoda; Strigeidida; Schistosomatidae. The record is from RNAcentral.
AUCCAUCUGAUGAGUCCCAAAUAGGACGAAAUGGGUGUGCUGAAU